GCUUGCUUCUCUUGAGAGCGGCGGACGGGUGAGUAAUGCCUAGGAAUCUGCCUGGUAGUGGGGGAUAACGUUCGGAAACGGACGCUAAUACCGCAUACGUCCUACGGGAGAAAGCAGGGGACCUUCGGGCCUUGCGCUAUCAGAUGAGCCUAGGUCGGAUUAGCUAGUUGGUGAGGUAAUGGCUCACCAAGGCGACGAUCCGUAACUGGUCUGAGAGGAUGAUCAGUCACACUGGAACUGAGACACGGUCCAGACUCCUACGGGAGGCAGCAGUGGGGAAUAUUGGACAAUGGGCGAAAGCCUGAUCCAGCCAUGCCGCGUGUGUGAAGAAGGUCUUCGGAUUGUAAAGCACUUUAAGUUGGGAGGAAGGGCAGUUACCUAAUACGUGAUUGUUUUGACGUUACCGACAGAAUAAGCACCGGCUAACUCUGUGCCAGCAGCCGCGGUAAUACAGAGGGUGCAAGCGUUAAUCGGAAUUACUGGGCGUAAAGCGCGCGUAGGUGGUUUGUUAAGUUGGAUGUGAAAUCCCCGGGCUCAACCUGGGAACUGCAUUCAAAACUGACUGACUAGAGUAUGGUAGAGGGUGGUGGAAUUUCCUGUGUAGCGGUGAAAUGCGUAGAUAUAGGAAGGAACACCAGUGGCGAAGGCGACCACCUGGACUAAUACUGACACUGAGGUGCGAAAGCGUGGGGAGCAAACAGGAUUAGAUACCCUGGUAGUCCACGCCGUAAACGAUGUCAACUAGCCGUUGGAAGCCUUGAGCUUUUAGUGGCGCAGCUAACGCAUUAA
Molecule: ribosomal RNA, 789 nt
Filed under: Pseudomonas extremaustralis
Lineage: Bacteria; Pseudomonadati; Pseudomonadota; Gammaproteobacteria; Pseudomonadales; Pseudomonadaceae
Description: bacterial SSU rRNA
Rfam family: Bacterial small subunit ribosomal RNA
Source: RNAcentral